Molecule: ribosomal RNA, 135 nt
Filed under: Clostridium baratii
Lineage: Bacteria; Bacillati; Bacillota; Clostridia; Eubacteriales; Clostridiaceae
Description: partial 16S ribosomal RNA
Rfam family: Bacterial small subunit ribosomal RNA
Source: RNAcentral
UUUUUAUUGAGAGUUUGAUCCUGGCUCAGGACGAACGCUGGCGGCGUGCCUAACACAUGCAAGUCGAGCGAUGAAGUUUCCUUCGGGAAACGGAUUAGCGGCGGACGGGUGAGUAACACGUGGGUAACCUGCCUC